UGUAUCAUCUGCUGUCCGGUGUCAAAUGUCACAAUGAAUGGUCUAUUCUCCCCUGUGAACUUGUUCUGUGGUCAUAACUGUAUACAGGAAUCACUUUGGAAUCCUCAAAACCCCCGAGCCUUGCGUUAAACCCCACGAGUAUUUAGAGUUUUACAACUACGAAGCUGAAUGUCGAGAGAAAAAGACAAAGAUUCCCAAAAAAUGGUCUCAAAGUACCUCCUUGUUUAAGUUGGCUGCCAGGCAAAUCAGCUCAUCUCCAGCAGAACAGAAGCUGCCUUUUCAGGGAAGCGUGGCAGCUGCCGGCGAACACAAAGCAGCUCUGUGAUGGUUGAAGCCAGCAAAGAAAAGCGCCCCCUCCGAGUGGAAUCACAGGAAGGAAACCUCCGUGGGCAGCAGGAGCAAGUGCAAUCCCUGGAGACGAGCCGAAGGGGCCCGAGGCCCCGAGAAGGGCAGGAUGCGAUGCUGGGUGUGUGACCUCAGCCAUGGAAGGGCCACCUGCCACCGGGGGGCUGGGCCGUCGGGCCUUUGGCUGUGGAGGGAAAAGAGUGGCCACUUGCUGGAGCUGGGAACGUGCAGUGAUGAGCACUAGGACAAGAGGACCGUGACAAACAGACAUAGAAGUUCUGGAGACUGGGGAAGUCCAAGAUCAAGGCUCCAGCAGAUUCAGUAUCUGGACAGCAUUGAGUUCAAUGCCUCAAAAUUGCUGCGUUCUCCUUCUGCCAGUGCCCAGAGAUGCUCCCCACACCACACUGCGCUGCCAGGGGAUGUUAGAGGUGAUUCAAGACAGUUUUUCCUACCUCUUCAGUGCCUCUUUCAGCAAUAUGAAGUUAAAACCAGCCACACACUAUCUCAUGGCAGAAGACACCACUUAACCCAGGCAUCCCACAUGGAGGCUGUGUGUACUGGCAGAUUUUUAAUGACCAGGACCACUAUGGAUCAUAGAACAACUUGGAAGCUAGUUCUCUUUUUGAGCAUUGACAUCCAUCAAUCUUUCGCCUUUACCUAAUGCUGCAUUCAAAAGAAAUAUGUGAAGCAGCAGCAAAUUAAAGAAGACCAAAAUCUGAACC
Molecule: long non-coding RNA, 1067 nt
Organism: Pan troglodytes (chimpanzee)
Lineage: Eukaryota; Metazoa; Chordata; Mammalia; Primates; Hominidae
Exons: 4
Source: RefSeq, a predicted model, not a curated record